Molecule: ribosomal RNA, 325 nt
Filed under: uncultured eukaryote
Lineage: Eukaryota
Description: partial 18S ribosomal RNA
Rfam family: Eukaryotic small subunit ribosomal RNA
Source: RNAcentral
CCCUUAGAUGUUCUGGGCCGCACGCGCGCUACACUGAUGCAUUCAACGAGUGUACCUUGGCCGAGAGGCCUGGGCAAUCUUUUGAACGUGCAUCGUGAUAGGGAUAGAUUAUUGCAAUUAUUAAUCUUGAACGAGGAAUUCCUAGUAAACGCAGAUCAUCAAUCUGCAUUGAUUACGUCCCUGCCCUUUGUACACACCGCCCGUCGCUCCUACCGAUUGAGUGGUCCGGUGAGGCUUUGGGAUCUGAGCGGAAAGAGCGUUUCGCUGUUUCUGCUCGGAAAACUCAGUCGAACCUUAUCAUUUAGAGGAAGGAGAAGUCGUAACA